Molecule: ribosomal RNA, 497 nt
Filed under: uncultured bacterium
Lineage: Bacteria
Description: partial 16S ribosomal RNA
Rfam family: Bacterial small subunit ribosomal RNA
Source: RNAcentral
GAUGAACGCUGGCGGCGUGCCUAAUACAUGCAAGUCGAGCGAACAGACGAGGAGCUUGCUCCUCUGACGUUAGCGGCGGACGGGUGAGUAACACGUGGAUAACCUACCUAUAAGACUGGGAUAACUUCGGGAAACCGGAGCUAAUACCGGAUAAUAUAUUGAACCGCAUGGUUCAAUAGUGAAAGACGGCUUUGCUGUCACUUAUAGAUGGAUCCGCGCCGCAUUAGCUAGUUGGUAAGGUAACGGCUUACCAAGGCAACGAUGCGUAGCCGACCUGAGAGGGUGAUCGGCCACACUGGAACUGAGACACGGUCCAGACUCCUACGGGAGGCAGCAGUAGGGAAUCUUCCGCAAUGGGCGAAAGCCUGACGGAGCAACGCCGCGUGAGUGAUGAAGGUCUUCGGAUCGUAAAACUCUGUUAUUAGGGAAGAACAAAUGUGUAAGUAACUAUGCACGUCUUGACGGUACCUAAUCAGAAAGCCACGACUAACUACGUG